GGAAUUGGAUGCCUUUGUGUACAUUGAAAGGCAUCUCAUUUAUUAGUAAACUAAAUUGUAGUUUCAAGAAUUUACCUGGUGCUCAUGGAUGACUGGGUCAUAGUUAAUAUCUGAUUCAUCAUAUGAAAAAGCAGUGGGUAAACUAGAGCGCCGCGGCAGUCUGCCCAUGGUGUCCCGCAGCCUGGAGGAUAACAUGGACGCCACCUCUGGCACAUUCAAACUAUCGAGCAUACAGAAUUUCUUCAGCAAAAAGACCCUUAAGGGGACAUUGAAGAGGACCAAGAGUGCCACAAAACUUGACAGAAAAAGAACAGCACCUGGAGCUCUGGAUGGGAGUGAAUCGUGAGUAUUCAUUUUUUCCCCAGUCUUAAUUUAAACAGUCAUAAAAAGGUGGUGAAUAUUUUGUUUUGAACUGUGACCAUCAUUUGCUUGAUUAUUCAGCAGCAUUGCUAGUUCCGUAACGUUUUUCCAAAGUUUAACGGUUUUUAAGAUUUGAAAUAAACCACUUGGAAUGAGAGUGUUUUACAGUAUAUUGCUGUGCUGUGUUUUUUCUACCACCGGUUGCAUAGUAAACAAGGCAUGGAGUGAGCUAGGGAGAUGUGCAGUAACAAAGCAUCAUCUAGGAUAGAGAAGAGAUAAGACUUGCUGUCUGCCACACAUUGUAUCAGACAUUUCAAUGGCCCCAUUAUGAGGCAUGCAACUCAAAAAUUGUAUCAGACGUCCAGAAACAUUUGUAAUGCUGCCUUCGGGUUGAGCAGAUUGAUAUCAAGGCCAUCGAGAUGAAAAGUUGCAGGGUGGAUGGCUAGCAAGUCUUGUCUGUAGUAGCAGGGGUGUGUGGCACUUUCCACCCACUGUCUUCCACUGAUAAACCUUUCUCACAUUCUAAUAUGUGGCUCCUUAGUAUCAAGCUCUUCUGCUGAUAAUACUGCUUCAUGAUGUCUGGUCUUCCAACACAGUCGCCACUAUCCCGUGGCUAAUAGGGGCCGGUGUCGCCAGCCAGGCCUGAUGCAGUGGCAAGUUAUCUGCAAAUGAGGCUGGAAAAUAGGGGAUGGAUCAGCAGUUAUUUCAAUUAAAUUUAGUUUUCAUGGUUUUCAAGUCUUCAGAUGUUGGUCUGAUUUGGUUUUUUUUUUCUUAUUACUAUCAUAAAAGAUAUAUUAAUAAUUUGGAAGUGCUAAAUUCAG
This 1181-nucleotide unclassified non-coding RNA is filed under the name Lingula anatina. RNAcentral describes it as "uncharacterized LOC106164314, transcript variant X1". The record is from RNAcentral. Lineage: Eukaryota; Metazoa; Brachiopoda; Lingulata; Lingulida; Lingulidae.